GACGAACGCUGGCGGCGUGCUUAACACAUGCAAGUCGAACGGAAAGGCCCUGCUUUUGUGGGGUGCUCGAGUUGCGAACGGGUGAGUAACACGUGAGUAACCUGCCCUUGACUUUGGGAUAACUUCAGGAAACUGGGGCUAAUACCGGAUAGGAGCUCCUGCUGCAUGGUGGGGGUUGGAAAGUUUCGGCGGUUGGGGAUGGACUCGCGGCUUAUCAGCUUGUUGGUGGGGUAGUGGCUUACCAAGGCUUUGACGGGUAGCCGGCCUGAGAGGGUGACCUGCCACAUUGGGACUGGGAUACGGCCCAGCCUCCUACGGGAGGCAGCAGUGGAGAAUAGUGCACAAUGGGCGGAAGCCUGAUGCAGCAACGCCGCGUGCGGGAUGACGGCCUUCGGGUUGUAAACCGAUUUCGCCUGUGACGAAGCGUGAGUGACGGUAAUGGGUAAAGAAGCACCGGCUAACUACGUG
RNAcentral lists this ribosomal RNA (468 nucleotides) under uncultured bacterium. Its description in RNAcentral is "partial 16S ribosomal RNA". It matches the Rfam family "Bacterial small subunit ribosomal RNA", at positions 28 to 507 of the family's 1533-position model. The record is from RNAcentral.